UGGACGAACGCUGGCGGCGUGCUUAACACAUGCAAGUCGAACGGAGCACCCUUGACUGAGGUUUCGGCCAAAUGAUAGGAAUGCUUAGUGGCGGACUGGUGAGUAACGCGUGAGGAACCUGCCUUUCAGAGGGGGACAACAGUUGGAAACGACUGCUAAUACCGCAUGACACAUAGGGAUCGCAUGGUCUUUAUGUCAAAGAUUUAUCGCUGAAAGAUGGCCUCGCGUCUGAUUAGCUAGUUGGUGAGGUAACGGCCCACCAAGGCGACGAUCAGUAGCCGGACUGAGAGGUUGACCGGCCACAUUGGGACCGAGAUACGGCCCAGACUCCUACGGGAGGCAGCAGUGGGGAAUAUUGGGCAAUGGGCGCAAGCCUGACCCAGCAACGCCGCGUGAAGGAAGAAGGCUUUCGGGUUGUAAACUUCUUUUAAGUGGGAAGAGCAGAAGACGGUACCACUUGAAUAAGCCACGGCUAACUACGUGCCAGCAGCCGCGGUAAUACGUAGGUGGCAAGCGUUGUCCGGAUUUACUGGGUGUAAAGGGCGUGCAGCCGGGCAUGCAAGUCAGAUGUGAAAUCUCAGGGCUUAACCCUGAAACUGCAUUUGAAACUGUAUGUCUUGAGUGCCGGAGAGGUAAUCGGAAUUCCUUGUGUAGCGGUGAAAUGCGUAGAUAUAAGGAAGAACACCAGUGGCGAAGGCGGAUUACUGGACGGUAACUGACGGUGAGGCGCGAAAGCGUGGGGAGCGAACAGGAUUAGAUACCCUGGUAGUCCACGCUGUAAACCAUGGAUACUAGGUGUGCCGGGACUGACCCCCUGCGUGCCGCAGUUAACACAAUAAGUAUCCCCCCUGGGGGAGUACGAUCCCCAGGUUGAAACUCAAAGGAAAUUGACGGGGGUCCGCUCAAGCGGUGGAUUAUGUGGUUUAAUUCGAAGCAACGCGAAGAACCUUACCAGGUCUUGACAUCCUGCUAACGAAGUAGAGAUACAUUAGGUGCCUUUUGGGGAAAGCAGAGACAGGUGGUGCAUGGUUGUCGUCAGCUCGUGUCGUGAGAUGUUGGGUUAAGUCCCGCAACGAGCGCGACCCCUAUU
Molecule: ribosomal RNA, 1090 nt
Filed under: uncultured organism
Description: SSU rRNA
Rfam family: Bacterial small subunit ribosomal RNA
Source: RNAcentral